Long non-coding RNA from Syngnathoides biaculeatus (alligator pipefish), 1104 nucleotides. RefSeq lists it as uncharacterized. The record is from RefSeq and is a predicted model, not a curated record. Lineage: Eukaryota; Metazoa; Chordata; Actinopteri; Syngnathiformes; Syngnathidae. The transcript is spliced from 5 exons.
GCCAUGUUUACCAGCCCUCCACCAUCGUCCCUCUGAGGCACCAGCUUUCAGCAGCACCGGCUCCCCUCUCAGCCCUUAGCGGCCCGGGGAGGGACUACAAUAGCUCCUCACAGGCCUGGCUCCUCUCGAUUGAUGAUGCGAUAUGAUGAUGUGCUUUCCAUUAGUGACAUGUCAUAAUAUGAGGUAUGCACAAUGGGCACCAGACCGCUCCCAGGCAAGAGCCAUAAACUCUUGGUCAAUGUCAGCACAGAAAAUGUACUCAACCUCCCUACCAAUUUGGUUUUUGAUGGCAUCAGCCAAUAGCGGCAUACGACGAUAGGCCAACUUGUCCCAGCCUGGGAACUCCGCAACAGGAAGCACCUUCAGCUGCCGUCCAGGCCCCAACUUGAUGGGAGGAUCCAAUGUGCGAGGAUUAUCAAUGAGAAUGUAGGUUAGCAGGCCUAUCCGGACUUCUUGCUGUGCAAAUUCAGUUCUUCGCCUGACAGAGUUGCGGUUGUCGCCCCAAACUAAAGGGACGCCCCAAGGAGUCUGCGCAGGGGUUAGGUUGAGCUCCAAAUUUGAUGACAACUUUUUGAGCAAGACAUCCCCCACCUUCACCAGAAAGGUUACAUUGUUUGCAUGCCCCUUCGUACUGAUAUUUCUCCUUGCAUGCCUGCAUGUGUGUGAUUUUAUCUCUGGUGAGCAACACAAAAUAUAUCGCAAAACAAAUCCAUCCAUCUGCAAUAACAUUUGCUCCUAUUAGGAUCUGAGGUGUGCUGGACCCUAUCUCAGCUGACUUUGGGAGGGAGGCGGGCUACAGCCUGGACAUCUUUCCAGGCAAUCGCAGGGCACAUUGAACAACCAUUCACAAUCCCCUCCACACUAAUGUACAAUUUAGAGUAUUCAAUUAACCAAGCAUGCAUAUUUCAGGAAUGUGGGAGGACCCUGGAGCACAAAGUGAAAACACCCGAGCUUGGAGAGAACACGCAAACUCAAUAAAGGAAAGUCUGAACUUCUGAACUGCAGAUGUGAUAAACAGAUCAGAUGCCCAAGUCCAAUUUCCCCUUGAGGAAUUACAACGGGGAUGUAUUAGAGCAGUUCUGAUAAGCAUACAACAUUAGUACA